This 73-nucleotide transfer RNA is filed under the name Bacteroidales bacterium. Its description in RNAcentral is "tRNA-Glu". It matches the Rfam family "tRNA". Rfam says of the family: Transfer RNA (tRNA) molecules are approximately 80 nucleotides in length. Their secondary structure includes four short double-helical elements and three loops (D, anti-codon, and T loops). Lineage: Bacteria; Pseudomonadati; Bacteroidota; Bacteroidia; Bacteroidales. The record is from RNAcentral. RNAcentral also lists the same sequence under 3 other names.
GGCGGAUUAAUGUAGUGGCCUAGCAUGCAUGCCUCUCACGCAUGAAACUCGGGUUCAAAUCCCGGAUCCGCUA